Molecule: regulatory RNA element, 83 nt
Organism: Deinococcus deserti VCD115
Lineage: Bacteria; Thermotogati; Deinococcota; Deinococci; Deinococcales; Deinococcaceae
Rfam family: Cyclic di-GMP-II riboswitch aptamer
Source: Rfam
CUGAUGGGGAGCGCGAAGAGCCCUGUUCUGUAUUCGGGCACCUGGGACAGGGGGAGCUAGUGGUGCGACCGGCUUUUCGUCUG